CCUACGGGAGGCAGCAGUAGGGAAUCUUUCACAAUGGGCGAAAGCCUGAUGGACCAACGCCGCGUGCAGGAUGAAGGCCUUCGGGUUGUAAACUGCUUUUAUAAGCGAGAAAUAUGAUGGUAACUUAUGAAUAAUGAUUGGCUAACAUCGUGCCAGCAGCCGCGGUCAUACGUAGGAUCCGACCAUUAUCAGGAGUGACUGGGUGUAAAGAGUUGCGUAGGUGGCAUAAUAAGUAGCUAGUGAAAUCUGGUGGCUCAACCAUUCAGACUAUUAGCUAAACUGUUAAGCUCGAGACCGUUGGGGGUAACUGGAAUUUCUAGUGUAGGAGUGAAAUCCGUAGAUAUUAGAAAGAACACCGAUAGCGUAGGCAGGUUACUGGGACGGUUCUGACGUUGAGGCACGAAAGCGUGGGGAGCAAACAGGAUUAGAUACCCGGGUAGUC
This 442-nucleotide ribosomal RNA is filed under the name uncultured bacterium. RNAcentral's name for it is "partial 16S ribosomal RNA". It matches the Rfam family "Bacterial small subunit ribosomal RNA", at positions 338 to 795 of the family's 1533-position model. The record is from RNAcentral.